CCUCGAAUCAGGUGGGACUGCCCGCUGAACUUARGCAUAUCAAUAAGCGGAGGAAAAGAAACUAACAAGGAUUCCCCUAGUAACGGCGAGUGAAGCGGGAUGAGCUCAAAUUUAAAAUCUGAUAGUCUUUGGCUGUCCGAGUUGUAAUCUAGAGAAGUGUUUUCCGCGUUGGACCAUGUACAAGUUUCCUGGAACGGAACGUCAUAGAGGGUGAGAAUCCCGUCCUUGACAUGGACUACCAGUGCUUUGUGAUACACUCUCAACGGGUCGAGUUGUUUGGGAUUGCAGCUCAAAAUGGGAGGUAAAUUCCUUCUAAAGCUAAGUAUUGGCGAGAGACCGAUAGCGAACAAGUACCGUGAGGGAAAGAUGAAAAGCACUUUGGAAAGAGAGUUAAACAGUACGUGAAAUUGUUAAAAGGGAAACGAUUGAAGUCAGUCGCGUUUACUUGGACUCAGCCUUACCUCGGUUUGGUGCAUUUCCUUGUGAACGGGCCAGCGUCAAUGUUGUCCGUUGGAAAAGGGUUGGAGAAAUGUGGCUCUUUCGGGAGUGUUCUAGUCUCUGAUAGUAUACAACGGACGUUAGUAUGGGUACUGC
This 594-nucleotide ribosomal RNA is filed under the name uncultured Basidiomycota. RNAcentral describes it as "LSU rRNA". It matches the Rfam family "Eukaryotic large subunit ribosomal RNA", at positions 1 to 598 of the family's 3401-position model. Lineage: Eukaryota; Fungi; Basidiomycota. The record is from RNAcentral.